UACGUAGGGCGCAAGCGUUGUCCGGAAUUAUUGGGCGUAAAGAGCUCGUAGGCGGCCUGUUGCGUCCGCUGUGAAAUCCCGGGGCUUAACCCCGAGCCUGCAGUGGAUACGGGCAGACUAGAGGUAGGUAGGGGAGAAUGGAAUUCCCGGUGUAGCGGUGAAAUGCGCAGAUAUCGGGAGGAACACCGGUGGCGAAGGCGGUUCUCUGGGCCUUACCUGACACUGAGGAGCGAAAGCGUGGGGAGCGAACAGG
RNAcentral lists this ribosomal RNA (253 nucleotides) under uncultured bacterium. RNAcentral describes it as "partial 16S ribosomal RNA". It matches the Rfam family "Bacterial small subunit ribosomal RNA", at positions 524 to 776 of the family's 1533-position model. The record is from RNAcentral.